This 467-nucleotide long non-coding RNA is filed under the name Bos indicus x Bos taurus (hybrid cattle). Its description in RNAcentral is "lncRNA (ENSBIXG00005000983.1)". Lineage: Eukaryota; Metazoa; Chordata; Mammalia; Artiodactyla; Bovidae. The record is from RNAcentral.
GCCGACUGGAGACCCCUGGAGCCAGCUGCAGUCCAGACGCCUGUUUGUUGGGUGUGUAUGCUCGCUGACCUGCUGCCUGACCUCACUAACAUGGAAGGAAGCUGUUUGAGGGGGCAGGGUGGACCCACAGCCUGAAGUCUCCUCCGUCGUUGUCACCGUGACAUUCAGCACACCCACAAGAAGAACGCUGUCCCCGGAAGCUGCCGUGAGAAGUCUGAGGUCCCAUGAAAGGAACUAAGAGGGAGACGUUAAGGAGAAGGGACCCGGGACAGGCUUGAAUGGAGCGGCUGCCUCCCUCAGCCCAGGCCUCUCCUGACGGGAAUGAUGAAGCGGUGGGGAGACAGCGGAUUGAAAGAGAAGUCGGCUCAGCGGGGAAGCUCAGAUUGCCUUCCCGGACCACAGGCUGGGAACCAGGAGAGGAGACUGCGAGAUUGACAGGCCCGGUGCUGUCUGUAAUUAGAAAAUAA